CUAACUUUAAGGUACACUGUUAAUGACCUAACGAUCUGCCACCAUGCAGGGACAGACUAACUUUAAGGGCCUGAUUAGGGACAUAGAAGAGAUUUUGGGAAUGACAAUCCAGAAUAAAGCCCUGGUGACCGAGGAAGAAGAGAAGGCUGCUCCUGUCCGGACUAAACGGGAUCACUGACCCACACAACUAGGAUACCUCAGUCACUUUAAAACGGAAGAAAUGCCACCGUUUUGAUCAGAUCGAUGCCAAUUACUCCAACUGAUCAUUUCAGACCCUAUUAUCUAUUUCUAUCUGUAUUUCAUAAGAGUUUAUCUUACUAGGGACAAUACAUUAUUAUAUUCCUGAACGACUGAACUCUGUUAGUGUGUGAUUGUUCAUACUGUAGCCUAAACACAACCAGGGAACAAGUUGUAUUAAGUUUUAAGAACAUAAAAAACUUUAUUAUAAAUUCAAAUGUA
This is a non-coding RNA of Salvelinus sp. IW2-2015, 459 nucleotides long. The record is from RefSeq and is a predicted model, not a curated record. NCBI's taxonomy places the organism in Eukaryota, Metazoa, Chordata, Actinopteri, Salmoniformes, Salmonidae.